Acanthosepion pharaonis is the source of this 113-nucleotide non-coding RNA. NCBI's taxonomy places the organism in Eukaryota, Metazoa, Mollusca, Cephalopoda, Sepiida, Sepiidae. The record is from the annotation of a GenBank genome assembly.
UUACGGCCACAUCCCGUUGAAACAGUGGUUCCCGUACGAGCACGGAUGUUAAGCAACGUCGAGCCUGGUGAGUACUUAGAUGGGUGACCGUUUGAGAAUACUGGGUGCUGUAA